This 520-nucleotide ribosomal RNA is filed under the name uncultured Glomus. RNAcentral describes it as "SSU rRNA". It matches the Rfam family "Eukaryotic small subunit ribosomal RNA", at positions 569 to 1091 of the family's 1831-position model. The record is from RNAcentral. Lineage: Eukaryota; Fungi; Glomeromycota; Glomeromycetes; Glomerales; Glomeraceae.
AGCAGCCGCGGUAAUUCCAGCUCCAAUAGCGUAUAUUAAAGUUGUUGCAGUUAAAAAGCUCGUAGUUGAAUUUCGGGAUCAAUACGUCGGUCGUGCUUCGGUACGUACUGGCGUCAUUGAUUUCUCCCUUCUGACGAACCAUGAUGUCAUUAACUUGGUGUCAUGGGAAAUCAGGACUGUUACUUUGAAAAAAUUAGAGUGUUUAAAGCAGGCUCACGCUUGAAUACGUUAGCAUGGAAUAAUGAAAUAGGACGUUUGAUCCUAUUUUGUUGGUUUCUAGGAUUGACGUAAUGAUUAAUAGGGAUAGUUGGGGGCAUUAGUAUUCAAUUGUCAGAGGUGAAAUUCUUGGAUUUAUUGAAGACUAACUACUGCGAAAGCAUUUGCCAAGGAUGUUUUCAUUAAUCAAGAACGAAAGUUAGGGGAUCGAAGACGAUCAGAUACCGUCGUAGUCUUAACCAUAAACUAUGCCGACUAGGGAUCGGAUGAUGUUAAUUUUUUAAUGACUCGUUUGGCACCUUAC